RNAcentral lists this unclassified non-coding RNA (355 nucleotides) under soil metagenome. RNAcentral describes it as "partial contains 5.8S ribosomal RNA, internal transcribed spacer 2, and large subunit ribosomal RNA". The stretch from base 1 to 120 matches the Rfam family "5.8S ribosomal RNA", at positions 35 to 154 of the family's 154-position model. The record is from RNAcentral.
GAUGAAGAACGUAGCGAAAUGCGAUAAGUAAUGUGAAUCGCAGAAUUCAGUGAAUCAUCGAAUCUUUGAACGCACAUUGCGCCCACUAGUACUCUAGUGGGCAUGCCUGUUCGAGCGUCAUUAAGUCCACUUAAGCCCUGCUUAGUGUUGGGAGACUGCUCCAGCGGUGCUACCCUGUAGCUACCCUGCAGCUCCUCAAAGACAGCGGCGGAGUUGUGGUAUCCUCUGAGCUUAGUAACUUGUUCUAGCUUUCGAGUACACCACUUCCCCUGCCGUAAAACCCUCAAUUUUUAAUGGUUGACCUCGGAUCAGGUAGGAAUACCCGCUGAACUUAAGCAUAUCAAUAAGCGGAGGA